UAGGGAAUCUUCCACAAUGGACAAAAGUCUGAUGGAGCAACGCCGCGUGAGUNAAGAAGGGUUUCGGCUCGAAAACUCUGUUGUUAAAGAAGAACAUAUCUGAGAGUAACUGUUCAGGUAUUGACGGUAUUUAACCAGAAAGCCACGGCUAACCUACGUGCCAG
Molecule: ribosomal RNA, 164 nt
Filed under: uncultured bacterium
Lineage: Bacteria
Description: partial 16S rRNA
Rfam family: Bacterial small subunit ribosomal RNA
Source: RNAcentral